UCUAACCAUUCCAACCCUUUUUUUUGACUUGAUAUCAGAAAGUCCUCGGGGGGGGGGGGGGCUUUCCGCUCCUCAUGAUAAGACCGCCUCCGGUUCGCCCACCCCCCCUCCCUCUCUGGGGUUUUUUUCCCCCCCCCAAUAGAUGGGAUAGACCACCCUAUUAAAAUGGGAUUAGAUACCCCACUAUGCCAAGCCGUAAAAUAUUAAACUACAACAAAAAGCGCCAGGGAAGUACGAGCCAAGCUUAAAACCCAAAGGACUUGACGGUGUCCCAUCUACCUAGAGGAGCCUGUUCUAUAAUCGAUGAUCCCCGCUACACCUCACCCAUUAUUGCUUUUUCAGCCUGUAUACCUCCGUCGCAAGCUUACCAUCUGAGUGACAGUGAGCUCAAUGAUUAAACACACCAAUACGUCAGGUCAAGGUGCAGCCAAUAAAUGGGGAAGAAAUGGGCUACAAUUUCUAACAUAGAACAUACGGAAGGUCUGCAUGAAACCUGCAACCAGAAGGCGGAUUUAGCAGUAAGAAGAAAACAGCGAGUCUCUACCAGAGUCUGGACG
Molecule: ribosomal RNA, 557 nt
Filed under: Micrixalus fuscus (dusky torrent frog)
Lineage: Eukaryota; Metazoa; Chordata; Amphibia; Anura; Micrixalidae
Description: partial 12S ribosomal RNA
Rfam family: Bacterial small subunit ribosomal RNA
Source: RNAcentral